RNAcentral lists this ribosomal RNA (254 nucleotides) under uncultured bacterium. RNAcentral describes it as "partial 16S ribosomal RNA". It matches the Rfam family "Bacterial small subunit ribosomal RNA", at positions 524 to 776 of the family's 1533-position model. The record is from RNAcentral.
CACGUAGGGGGCGAGCGUUGUCCGGAUUUAUUGGGCGUAAAGAGCUCGUAGGCGGCUUGGUAAGUUGGGUGUGAAAACUCCAGGCUCAACCUGGAGACGCCACCCGAUACUGCCAUGGCUAGAGUCCGGCAGGGGAGCAUGGAAUUCCUGGUGUAGCGGUGGAAUGCGCAGAUAUCAGGAGGAACACCAGCGGCGAAGGCGGCGCUCUGGGCCGGAACUGACGCUGAGGAGCGAAAGCGUGGGUAGCAAACAGG